This 354-nucleotide transfer-messenger RNA is filed under the name Clostridia. RNAcentral describes it as "Scatovivens faecipullorum Standard tmRNA". It matches the Rfam family "transfer-messenger RNA". Rfam says of the family: Bacterial tmRNA, also known as 10Sa RNA or SsrA, is named for its dual tRNA and mRNA-like properties. Its role is to liberate the mRNA from a stalled ribosome. RNAcentral also lists the same sequence under 3 other names. The record is from RNAcentral. Lineage: Bacteria; Bacillati; Bacillota.
GGGGAUGUAUUUGGUUUCGACAGUAUUCUAGAAGGAUAAAUAGCGAGUAGUGGAGAUGCCUGGCCACUUAAAAAGGCAUAUCUUAAAUAUAAACGCUGAUAAUAAAGAAUUAGCUUACGCUGCCUAAUUGCGGCGACGUCUUACUUUUGCAACCUACGGCUUAAGAUAAGGCGACGAUUAGUAGGAAACGAAGUUAGUAUGAGCUAUUUAUACUAAUGGGAAUUUCAAGAUAGCUACUUUAAAUAAACUUUGUUUAUUAGGAAUAUUUAAAGGAAAAAUUUUAAUAAACUGCACUCGGAGAAGUUUAUUUGGAAGGAAUAUUGGACAGGAGUUCGACUCUCCUCAUCUCCACCA